CAAAUCGUUAGUUUCUUAAGUUUCGUCUUCUAAUUCAGUCACUUUUCUAAAUCUUCGUUUGUCAUAAUUAUCAUCGUGACAUUUUUGUAAUUUAGUAAAAUAUUGUUUUAUUUCUUGUCCAAAUCAUUGAAAAACACUUGCAAAGUAUAAAACUUUGUAGAGGGAGCAUUGUGUUGAUUUGUAUUGAAUAACUAAUUCCUGGAUCUAAUUCUAACUGUAGCCUAAGUAAUUUUGCUUCAUUAUAAUCUUAGUGCCGUCACAAAUCACACAUAUUGUUUAGUGUAACUAAUACAAACUUUUUGCAGUUAACAUAUCAGUGAAAUAGACAAAUCUAAAGUGUUUAAAAAAAAUGUACAAAUUUAAGAGACAUACUGUUAUAGGUGCCACACGACCUCAAGGUAGAAUAAGCUCAACAAUCUACAGCAAUGGGAAACUUUUGUACGUUUUCGGUGGAUUUGAUCCUACUAGUGCCCGUUUUCAAGAAUUCUUCAACAGUGUACCUCCCCCAAGACACAAGCCUGAUUUUCUUGAUCUAUGGGCUUACGAUUUGUCAAAGAAAACGUGGUCUUUAGUGAUAAAUAAGGAGGGAUUACAUUUAUCAGAUCUAGUUUAGUGACAAAAUAAUUACCACAAUAUUUUUUCCACAUUUCCUUAUGAUUUACACUUACGCCACUCAGCCUGGUUAGAAGCGUGCAAGUCAUAAAAUUGGUCUUAUUGGAUAUAAUUAUAAAAGCCAAAAAGUUGGUAUUCGAUAUAAAAUUGGAAGACAACCAAUUGAUUCAGCAGCAAACUAACAUGAUUUGCCAUAAAAAUUGUGUUUACGGUAUAAAACUUGCCGGAUUUAAAAAAAAACCAGUUUUGAUAUCUAUAAAUUAGAUUCGCAUACUUUCGAAUUCAGAGUUUUCUCUAAGUAUGAUGACUCCAAGGACUGCAAUUAUUUGGUAUCAUCUCAACAUACUUUAGCUUACGAUGGAAAGUCCAUUUUUGUUAUUGGUGGAUAUAUUAAUCUGGAUACUGGAGAAACAUUUAUCCCUUUGAGAAGCAUUCCAGUAUUUGAUUUUGAAAGCGAAGCUUGGAGAAUUGUGGAUACUCAUGGAGAUGAGAAUGAAACAUCACAUUUUCCAGUCUUUCCAAUGGAAAGAGUAAAUUUUAGCAUAACACAAUUUACAGACCCAAACACCGGUGACGUAAAUGUUGUUAUAUUUGGAGGAACCCAACCCCCUUGGAAACAAACAGAAAGAAUAACAGGAGGUAGAAAUGAUAAUGUUUAUACCGACUUUUGGAAAUUAAAUCUCAGAAGUAUGAAAUGGAUAUACUUGGGAGUGAUACCGUCUGGAAUAGGUGAUAAACCUGCUGCGACAGUUUCACCUUAUGGUCAGUUAUUCAUCUUUUGAGGAAUAAUGAAGAACUCAAACGGCGUAAAUAAAUCUUCGUCGGAGAUUUAUUCAACCUGGCUCUGUGUUCCAAGACUAAAACAAAUUUGUUGGCAAGCUGUUAUGCAACAUAUUCCAGAUAUAGCUUCAAAAACU
This is a long non-coding RNA of Cotesia glomerata, 1529 nucleotides long. RefSeq lists it as uncharacterized. The transcript has 3 exons. Lineage: Eukaryota; Metazoa; Arthropoda; Insecta; Hymenoptera; Braconidae. The record is from RefSeq and is a predicted model, not a curated record.